Molecule: long non-coding RNA, 330 nt
Organism: Pecten maximus
Lineage: Eukaryota; Metazoa; Mollusca; Bivalvia; Pectinida; Pectinidae
Exons: 3
Source: RefSeq, a predicted model, not a curated record
ACAGGAACAAGAUUUCGGUCCGCCAUUAUAGGAAUAGCGUACAAAAAGCUGAUGAAACUGAAGAGUAUCAAUGGGAGGAUUGCUUCUGAAGCAAUAACAAUAUUUGGAUCGGAUUCCUUGAGAGUUUUGAUAAACACUCAGGUGUUUGUCUAUAUUCUAGCAGUACCAGUAUAUCUGAUCAUAGGUAUAAGUUAUCUCUACUACCUCGUAGGAGUUUGGAGCUUUGUAGCAUUGGCGAUAUUUGUCUUGUUUUAUUUCUUACAGGCUCUAAUAAUAAACGCAGUCGCUUUUCUAAGAAAGAGGACGUUGCGUUGGACUGAUUUGAGGGUA